This 460-nucleotide ribosomal RNA is filed under the name Candidatus Neptunichlamydia sp. RNAcentral's name for it is "partial 23S ribosomal RNA". It matches the Rfam family "Bacterial large subunit ribosomal RNA", at positions 1 to 478 of the family's 2925-position model. The record is from RNAcentral. Lineage: Bacteria; Pseudomonadati; Chlamydiota; Chlamydiia; Parachlamydiales; Simkaniaceae.
AAUCAAGCGCGAGAAGGGCGUUUGGUGAAUGCCUUGGCAGUAAGAGGCGAUGAAGGACGUGAUACUCUGCGAUAAGUUACGGUUAGCUGAGAAUAGGCUUUGACCCGUAAAUUUCCGAAUGGGGCAACCCACCUGACAGUUUGAUAUAAUUACCCUCGGGUAGCUUAUAUCUUGCUGAAACAGGUACUUAUAGACUGAAUACAUAGGUUUAUAAGAGCAAACCCGGAGAACUGAAACAUCUAAGUACCCGGAGGAAAGGACAUCAAUUGAUACACCCCUAGUAGCGGCGAGCGAACGGGGACCAGCCGAGCCUUGAGUGUGAAGAGAACGUGUUGGGAAGCACGGCCAUAGUGGGUGAUAGCCCCGUAUAUGAAGCAUGAUAGGACGUAUUAAGUAGGGCGGAACACGUGAAAUUCUGUCUGAAGAUCGGAGGACCACCUUCGAAGGCUAAGUACUCCUU